CGAGGGAGGAGAGACGAGGCCGCGAGCGACGGCGAGAAACCGCCAGAGAAAGAGUAGAGACCGAGGCAAGGGCGGCCGUAGAGACUGAGGCGAGGGCGGCACAGUGAUGCUGCGGGAUCGGCGAUGAGGCCGCAACUGCAAGUGAGGAAGGGCCGAAGGCGAGGCGGAGGAGGAGGAGAAGGAUCGAGAGGAAGAGGAGAGGAAGCGGGUCCUAUGGAGGUCGUCCGGCGAGGAGAUAGAGAUGGAUCGAGAGGAGGACCGUGCGGCGAGGGGAAAAAAGUGAGGAGAGGAAGGGGUUGCGAGGUCGUGCAGCGAUGGGAAAAAGUUUUUCGGUAGCUAGGGUUUUGGAAAGUCAAUGGGG
This 361-nucleotide long non-coding RNA is filed under the name Eucalyptus grandis. Its description in RNAcentral is "long non-coding RNA (EGRA_LNC003396)". The record is from RNAcentral. Lineage: Eukaryota; Viridiplantae; Streptophyta; Magnoliopsida; Myrtales; Myrtaceae.